Molecule: long non-coding RNA, 205 nt
Filed under: Panax ginseng (ginseng)
Lineage: Eukaryota; Viridiplantae; Streptophyta; Magnoliopsida; Apiales; Araliaceae
Description: long non-coding RNA (PGIN_LNC000546)
Source: RNAcentral
GCACGUUUGACCGAGUAUAACUCUCUUAUCUGAACGAAUUUGGACAAUCUAUAAAUUGGAUCUUGUAGACGAAAUACCAGACUACAAUUACCAACAAUCAUAACGUUUAAACAACAUCCGAUCUGGGAGAAAUCAGCCAUCAAAGUAGCUUCCAAAGCCGUUCUUCACGAAGAACAGUUUGAGGUGCUUACUUUGGACCUCUAUA